RNAcentral lists this long non-coding RNA (16183 nucleotides) under Malus domestica (apple). RNAcentral describes it as "long non-coding RNA (MDOM_LNC014091)". Lineage: Eukaryota; Viridiplantae; Streptophyta; Magnoliopsida; Rosales; Rosaceae. The record is from RNAcentral.
UACAAUAGAUAACACAUACCUUAUAUUACAACCCUUAUUUUGAUUCCAUUAAUAGCAAAAGUACACAGUAAUACACUGCUGAAUACAGAUAGACAGUACUUAAAUAAGGGAUACUACUAAAAAGCAAUUAAUAUUAUUUCACUAUAUACAUGCAUGCCAGUAGUCUUUUGUAAUACCAUAUAUAUGUAGAAUAUUAUUAGAAAUCGUAGCAAUUAAGCUACUAGCUAGGGUUUCUCAUUCGUAUUGUGAAGGCCAAAGGAAGGCUCCCAUGGCAAACUUCCUCUUCUGGUUGACAUCCCCAAUGAGUGGGAGGCCGUACUGCUUCAUAAGGCAGUCCAGUUUCCAUUCAGGCAUGCUCUCAUAGUCACUCUUCUGGUACCUUGGGUAGUGCAGAGGCAUCUGGAAGUUGCAUGGGGUGUUGUUCUUGCUAGUUUGCUCAUUUACUUGGAGACCGCCGGGCAUGGUGAAAGCGUGGUUGCUAAAGCCAGUUCCAGUGGUACUCAUCUUCUCAAAUAUGUUGAGAAAGCUGGUAACUCAUGCAGAGUUGCUAACUUGGUAGUUGGUGUUGCAAAGUUGGCCUUUUAUAGGCAUCCCAAAGAGCAUGAUAGUGGAAGAUUACUCGAGUAUGCGCUUGAAGAUAAGACAGAGCAAUCAAGAAAACAUUUAAUGCGAUGAAAGCUAAAUCACAUUGAAGAAUGUGUGGUGACAAACUUUUGAGUGUUACACAUUCAUACUAUCAUGUGGUGUUAGCGAAAUACGUAUUAAUAUAUAUAUAUAUAUAUAUAUAUAUAUAUAUAUAUAAUACGUGUUUCAUAUUUAUAAAUCAUAGAUAAAAAUUCAUAUUUUAUGACUCAUGAAAAUAGUAUUAACAAAUAAUAUAUGUUAUACAAUAUAAGUAAAUUAAAUCAUGUGACAAUAUUGUAACCCCCACAUCAAAAAGAUUACUGAGCCAUCUUUUGGUAGAUUUUCAUGACGAAGGUAAACUUGGAUAAAUUUGGAUUCUAGGCCUCGUUUGAUAUUUAGGAUUGGGUUAGUUUGGACAAUCCAUUUCAAUGAAAGUUGAACAAAAAUAGGGAUGCCAACUUGCAUAUUUUGUUAAAUGAAGGUAGAAGAUGGAGAAAUCAUGAAGAAAACUUAUCCCUCAAAAUCCCCACAAAAAUGGUAGAAUUGAGAGGGCCAAAUUUGCUUCAUGACUUUUCUAUCUUCGACCUAGAGUAGACGGACGUUGGUUAGGUUUGAGAAGAUGAGUUUUUGGAAGAAAAUAUUUUAGGGAUAAAUUUGGGAUUUUCUGGAUCAAAUAUUUUAGUUUGGUGUAUUAAUUUAUUUAAAAAUUGGGUGCCAAUAGAGGCACCUGAAAAUUAUAGUUAGCAAAUAAAUUAUUGGACCAAAAUACUUUAUGGAACCGUUGAAUACAUGGUAAUAUUGUCAUUUGCCAAGGUGGAAGGAAUUAGUUGUGAUGUAUCUAGUGUUCCAAUAAAAUUGAUAUUGAGGAGGGAGUAAUUGUUGGAAUCAAAUUUGUGCACUAUCAUGGAUGGCGGAGGCACAAAUUAGAGUAACAUUUAAAACAGAAAAAACCGUGAGCAAGUCUAAGAUAGGGUGAGUUGUGUGUGCCAGCCAAAGGAUCUCUAACGAUCAGGUUAGUAAGCAAGUAUAAGACUAAAGCAACGGGUAAGAGAAUUAGAGAGCGAUGAUUGUGCUACCAGAGAUGAACCCUGUGUGUAUUUAUAUCAGUCGAGAAAGAGACAUUUUUAUGAUAGAAUCUUUGUGCUAAGUUGAGAGAAUCUUAGAGGAUAUCUAGAAGUAAAUAUUGUCAUCCUCUUAGAAUGUGAUUACUUGUGGCGCACGCCAAUUCCUAGAUUGUAGGAACUGUAAUACAUAUAGAGAAUAUGGUUGAUUCUGUGCUGGAUCAUAUCCUCUUAUCUUGAGGAACAAGCAUGGUCAUUCUCAACGAAGUUGCUGAAACUUCACUCACUGCUCUGGAAUAGGAUGAUGGUGGUACCACUGCUUCGUUUGAUUUAGCUCCGCUCGGAGCUGUUGAGUGCAUGAUCAGACUCCUGAGGUAAUUGUAUUCUAAUUAGCCUUAUUCGGCCCUGGAAAAUUAUAUAGUCCAACGGUAAUUAUAAAAAAAAAUAAAUAAAAAAAAAACCUCAAGAAUAAGAGCAAGCAGAUGAUCUCAAUCACUUGAGUAAUUGGCCCUUGCUGAAAUGUAUGUAGUUGUAAUACCAAGAUGCUAAUAAUGCCAAAAUAUCCUGAUAAUGCUACUAAAUGCCAACAAAAUGCUUUUCCGAACAAUUCUGAUAUAUUUUCUUCCCUGAUAUCAUAGCAACUUGAUCAAUGUCCCUCUUUCAAUAAAUCCCUGGCCUUGGCCAGUUGUUCCUCUAUGCCAAAAUUGGAAUAAGUCCUCACAACUAUUCAAUGAUCAAGUGCAAAUGUUGAGCAUAUGUCGCCCAAUGAUGAGGAUGCCAAAGCUCCAGUCCAUUUUUAAUGACAUAUAAUUGUUAUAGCUAGUUAUACUUAUGCAUCACUUGAUGAAUUCAGAUAAACAACAGCCAAUCAAUCUCACUCAAAUCGUUAAUUUGUCUAUCGGAAAAUCAAUGAAGCGCAACAACAUUGCAUUGCAUUGCAGCCAGAAGAAUCGAUCUGCCAUCUUUUUCUCAACCCUAGCAAUUUGAAUCGAUCUGAGUGGAUAAACUGUGUGCGUGCUCCCGGACGCAAGAAAAUGAUCUAUAAUCUAUGAUCUAUCCUUGUCUCUAGCAAACCGAAUCGAUUAAGGCAAAGGGACCCGAAACACAAGUGGGCUUAACUAGUUAUAAGAAAGUCAAAGUAUUUGGAUGUUCACAACGAUCACCAGAUCAUGAAAAGACAUAUUUCAUGCUCAUUAGGGCAGCUGGAGCAUUCUAGUUCUACGAGUGAAAUGAUACAAGGUUAUUAUUGAUCCACAUCAAUCUCAGGUUGUGGAGUUGAAACGUCAUGCAUGCAUGGUGGGCAUGGGAUUGCAGGAAGGUGACUGACUGGAUAAAAAUGAAAUAGAAGGGUACUGAUUAUUUUCUGUGUCCGAAUUUGUGUGCCGUGGAUGAGAGGUCAUGUGUUAUUUUCAUAUUUAUUGAGAAAACCUAAUGUGAAGAAACUUCAUGCCAAACCCACUUCACCUAAGAUGGCAUCUAAUAGGAUUUUCACCAUCUGCAUACUCAGGGUUAAAUCCCAUAGAGUACUUGCAAGAGAAUAAAGUUAUUGUAGUAUAACGGCUCAAGCAAAGACGAUCUUCAUAGAAACUGAGAUGAAUAUUUUGUGUUUAAGUACAAUUCUUAUUUAACUAUUUAAUACAAGAUUAAGAAAGAUGAGAAUAUUGAAUAAAAGUAACAAGUGCAAAUAAAGAGAAAUAUUACAAGCUAAAAAUAAUAAUUGUAAAAAUAGCAAUCCAAAAAGUUUAAUAAGCAUUAGGGUUCAGCCGUCACCAGUAAAAAUCCUAUGUAGUUCUAUUAAUUACUUUUGCGUCAACACAUGCAAACUUUCAGCUUAGGUUUUCCUUAUGCAUAUUCCACUCGUGACAUUCAAGUUAGAACGUAUAUCCAAUAUGCAAUGCGUAAUUUGACAUUCACAUAAAAAAUCAACAUGCAAGACUCGUUAAAUUUUGUGAGAGCCUUAUAAAAAACCAGGGUAACCUUAAGAGCAUGACACUCACGUGAACAUACAAUUUCCAACCACAAGAAGCAUUAACCAAUUUCAGGCUGACAUUCCAAUAGGAAUUGCAUCCGAUUACUUGUCUAAACAUCUUAAUAGCGAUAAAGUGUUAAGACAUAAAGAUAGUUUAAAACAGUGAUUGAAAAUUCAAAGUAAGCAUAUAUAACAAUAUAAGUAAGUUAAAAAGAAACUAUAUAUUCAUGUUAAAACUCGUAACCUCGCCCAAGCAAAAGAGUUAAUUAGAAAUAAAACAUAAUGGAAUAUCAAAAGUUUUCUUGUGUUGGGAUCAAUAUUCUAACAAAUGCAAGGCACUAGUCGAGCGAUGGGUUGGGGCUAGGCGGGAGCCUAGGCGGAUUUGAAUAAUUUAUUAUAUAUUAUAUAAACUAAUUAAAUUUGAACAUUAAAUAAUAUGUUAUUUUUCAAAAAGGUGAGAGUUUUAGCCUUUUAGGUACAUAAUAAAAAUAUAUGUGGUGUGAUCUUAAAUAGGGUAAUAAAACCCCAUAAAAACAAACAUAAAAAAGUGACAUUUAAGAGAGAAAAAAAUAGUAAAAAAAGAUGGUGGGACCAUCUUAAGAAAAAUCAUGCAAUUAAAAAUUUUAAAUGAUGUUGGGAAUAGGGUUGUCUCCUUCCUUGCACGAGGUUGACUCUGCAACAAAAGAUUUCCAAAUUCCGACGCUUACAUAUAAUCCCGCCUAGCUUCCGCCCAUCCCAGCCUAGACUUGCCUAACUCCACUUUAUCCGGCCUGGGCGUCCGCCCAAUGUGCUUUCCGAUUUUGUGGCUGAUCAUGAGUUAAAUCGCGGCAGCCUACUUGAUCUAGCACCUAGGCAGCCGCCUAGGCUAAUUUUUUGAACACUAGGUGGGAUCUUAGUUUAGUUCGUUGAAUUCUGGUAAAGCGGACACUCUCCAAACUACAAGCACUGGGUAGAGACAAGAUUCUAUAUUUCAAGGAUAUUGCGAUACACAAGUCUCGAACUUUAUUCCAUUUGUUUAAUUUCAGUUUGUUUUAUUCAAAUUGUAUCCAUGUAUAUAGUUGUAAUUUAUUGUUCAUUAGCAUAUAAUUUUGGGUACAUAUAUUUCAAAUUUAUUUCUGCAAUAUAUUAAAUUUGUGAUUGAUUGUUGAUACUUAUCUAACAUCUUGAACACGUGCUUCAUAAUGAUCAUCUCGGUUGAGGUAUAUUUGCAACCAACAAGUAAUUGUGUACACAAAGAUGGUUUUCAUCCAAUAAAAUUGGGAUUCAAGUCAAAUUUUUAAGUUGUGCUCAUAGUUACCGCAGUUUCGGUCACUUUUGGGGGACAAUAUUCUCGACGUUAGGAGGAGAAAUGAUAGUUUUCAAAGAACGCCGAGAAUUAGCGUUGAUACAUGUGCAUUUGUCUCAUCCAAACUAUAUAUGAGUUAGAAGGGACUAUGAUGAUUAAUCUAUUGCAUGCCUAAAGCAUGACAGAUAUAUAAGUUCUAAACUUUGAACUCUCUGUAAGUGGAGAUUAAUUAAGUUCAAGUCCUAAUUGAAAAUAACUCUCCGUAGGAGGGCAUAUCCAAGUAAUUCAUCUUAAGAUAUUUGUCCUAGAUGUAACAAUGGAAGCCCCAAAGAGUCAUUGUACCCAAGCAAUGGAAUACUUAUAUAUUAAGCAUGCCAAUGAGAAUUGUUAGGUCACAAAUUGAUGAUAAUCAAUAAUUAUUAUAAUAGCUAAUCAUAUCAUGAAGGACUAUUUAGUCACGUUUUCCCAAAAAUAUCGACAAAGUAAAGGGUGGCCAAAACUAGAAAGAGAUAAUUCCAUUUUGAGCCACUGAAAAACGUGAAAUCAAUGAACCUAUAAUUUAAACCCCAAAUUUAUUCUUGCGUGUGUGUAAUAAAAAUAAAUAAGCCCACUAAUAUGGCAUAAGACUUUGUAAUAUAUUUCAUUAUAGAUGCAAUCACAUUUCUAGAAGUACAGUGUUAAUUUAGACGUGAGACUUAUCACUUUGUGGAGAUUGCAUACUAACCAUUUGAGAUUUUAUCUCUCAAAGUAAUUCUUACAGUAUGAAAAUGCCAUGAAAUUCUUUAUCAAAGUUCUCAAAUGAAGUUCCUAAAUUUAUUUGAUUACAUUAAUGCAAGACUACAGUUAAAAAUUUAUAAUGUAUUGUUGAAUACUUUAGAAAUUGUAGUAAAGCUAGUGUUUCUGCUACUCUCAUUCAUGCUGGGAAGGCCAAAGGAAGGCCCCCAUGGCAAACUUCCUCUUCUGGCUGACACCUCCAAUGACUAGGAGACCGUACUGCAUCAAAAAAUAGUCCAGUUUCCACUCAAGCAUGCUCUCAGAGUCUCUCUUCUAGUAUCUUGGGUAGUGUAGAGGCAUCUGGAAGUUGCAUGGGGUGUUGUUCUUACUAGUUUGCUCAUUUCCUUGGAGGUCGUUGGGCAUGGCGAAUGUGUGAUUGCUAAAUCCAGUUUCAGUGGUACUGAUAAACCCUCAAUCAACCUUAAUACAAGAAGCCAUGAAAGAACUCGAAGAGAGAGAGAGAGAAAGAGAGAGAUAUAGACAAAAGGAUUUCAGUAUUAUUCAUAAUCGUUUUCUGUUUUCUUACAAACCUCACUAUAUAGUUUCUGUUCUCUAACUAUUCUUAUCUAAUUACAACUAUACCAAUAACCUCCUAACAACCUUAUUACACUAAUCCCACUCAAUUAGUCAAUUGAUGCCGGUCACAACCCCACUUAGCUACUAGUAAAUCUCAUCAGAAUCGUAACAUUACUCCCCCCUUUGAAAUGAGCCUUGUCCUCAAGGCUGUAAGUCAGGAACGGAGUCAAUCUGCGUUCCCAAAAGAGCCUCCGAUGUUGAGUCAUUUUGUAUCAAGUCAACAUCCUGAACAGAUGGUAAUGAAAUAGUAGGAACAACUGAAGUCCCUAAUUUCUUUUUGAGACAGGAAACAUGAAAGACUAGAUGAAUCUUGGAAUGACUUGGAAGUUUCAACUUAUAUGCCACAGAACCCACGCGAGUCAGAAUCUCAAAGGGACCAUAGAAGCGAGGAUGUUUAUGGAAAGGAUGCAAAGCUAAAGAUUUUUGGUGAUAGGGAACCAACCUGAGAUAAACAAAAUCCUCUACAUUAAAUGAUCGUUCAGUUCUGUGCUUGUUGGCUUGAGUUAUCAUCCGUUCUUGAGCAGCUGCCAAGUUAGUUUUCAAGAGUGAUAAAACUCGGGUUUUCUCUUUCAAAUAGUGAUCCACCAUAUCAACCUUUGUCGUGCCUGAUUCAUAGAAUGGAACAUAUGGUGGUGACUGACCAUACACCACUUCAUAAGGUGUCAUUUUAGCUGCGGAAUGGUAUGAUGUGUUGUAGCUCCAUUCUGCCCAAGGAAGCCAUUUCAACCAUUGCUUGGGUUGUAAGCUACAGAAACAUCGGAGAUAGGUUUCCAAACAUCGAUUUAGAACUUCAGUCUGGCCGUCAGUUUGAGGAUGGAACCCGGAGCUAAAACAAAGCUUAGAACCUUGGAGUUUAAAAAAUUCUCUCCAAAAUGAGCUGAUGAAAACGGGGUCUCUAUCAGAUACAAUAGAGGAAGGCAUGUCGUGCAAUUUGAAUAUUUGAUCAGUGAAUAUUUGGGCCAUUGAAUGAGCUGUAUAUGGGUGAGCUAAUGGUAAAAAAAUGGGCAGCUUUUGAGAAUUUGUCGACAAUGACAAAGAUAACCGAUUUACCUUUGCAAAGAGGAAGCCCUGUGAUAAAAUCCAUAGCUAUAUCAGACCAAAUUCUCUGAGGAAUAGGAAGUGGAUGAAGAAGUCUAGCAAGAGAAAGUGUUUCAUACUUAUUCUUCUGACAGAUAUCACAUUUAGCAACCAUUUCCUUGAUAUUGUUCUUCAUACCCUCCCAAUAAAAAGAAUGAGAUAUCCGCUUAUAGGUCUUGAGAAAACCUUCAUGUCCUACAGAUGGUGUACAAUGGUGUUCUUCAAAUAGUUUAAGUCGCCAUGAACUUGUAGGACUGAGAACAAUCCUAUUUUUAUACUUCAAAAACCCAUUAUCAAUCUGAUAUUUAAGCAAGUUCAAGGUGCAGAAUCUGAGGGUGUUUGUACAACAGCCUGAGACUUCUGUAUGAUCCAGUCAUCUCUUUCAAUGUGUCGUCGUAAAUCAUCCAUCCAAGACAUAUAAGGGUACAACAAUGCGAGUAGCAUACUAUUGACAUCGAGACAUUCCAUUGGAACUGUAACACUAUUACUCUGAUCACUGCCCACAACUAGACUAGAAACUAUAGCAAGGUCAACAUUAGGAUGAGCUACUGUACUAACCCGAGAUAAAGCAUCAGCUGCUCUAUUUUCACUGCCCUUCUUGUAUUGGAUUUCGUAAUCAAAUCCAAGUAAUUUGGAGACCCAUCGUUGUUGGAUAGGCGAAUUAACUCUGUUUUGAAGAAAAUACUUGAGACUAUGGUGAUCGGACUUGAUAAUAAAGUGGUUCCCAAGCAAAUAGAAUUGCCACUUUUUAACUGCAUGCAACACAGCUAACAUCUCUCUUUCAUACGUAGACAAUGCUCGAAUUUUUUGGUCCAAGAGCUUGGCUAAGAAAUGCAAUAGGUCGACCUCCUUGCUGCAGUAUUGCUCCAAUUCCAGUACCCGGUAUCAGUCUCAAUAAUAAACGGUUUUGAAAAAUCGGGAAGUGCCAAAACCUGAGGAGACAUCAUUACAGUUUUGAGUUCCAGAAAUGCAUCAGUGGCUGCACAACUCCAAGUAAAGUUAUUCUUUUUAGUGAGUUGAGUCAAGGGUGCACUGUUUCUUCCAAAGUGAGGAAUAAACUUCCUAUAAUACCCAAUUAAUCCAAGAAAACCCCUUAAGGCUUUCACCGAAGUAGGCAGAGGCCAAUCUGCAAUAGCUUUCAAUUUUGAAGGGUCAGCAGCGACUCCAUUCUGAGAAACAACAUGGCCCAAGUAUUCGAUUUGAGUUUGUCCAAAAGCACACUUGGACAUUUUCACAAACAACUGAUGAUCGUGGAGUAAACUGAGGGCAAGACUCAAAUGAUGCAAGUGUAAUUCCCAAGAGGCACUAUAUAUGAGAAUAUCAUCAAAGAAAACUAAGAUGAACUUCCGCAAAUAAGGCCUAAAAAUCGUAUUCAUCAGACUCUGGAAUGAUGCAGGGGCAUUUGUGAGACCAAAAGGCAUAACAAGGAACUCAUAAUGCCCUUCAUGAGUUCGAAAAGCAGUAUUCUCAAUGUCUUUGGGGUGCAUACGGAUUUGAUGAUAACCAGACCUAAGAUCCAAUUUGGAGAAAUAUUUGGCACCAAAAAGUUCAUCCAACAAUUCAUCAAUUAAUGGUAUAGGAUACUUGUCCUUGACGGUAAUUAAGUGGAGUGCCCGAUAAUCCAUGCACAUCCUCCAAGUACCUUCUUUUUUCUUCACCAAGAGCACUGGAGAUGAGAAAGGGCUAUGGCUUGGCCUUAUAAAACCAGAUUCUAAAAGCUCCUUGACACACUUCUCGAUUUCAGUUUUUUUAAAAGGACCAUACUUAUAAGGUCUAGCACUCGGAAGCUUGCUUUCUGGCAACAAUGAUAUCCUAUGAUCAUGGGAUCUUGAUGGAGGUAGGCCAGAUGGAGAUUGAAAAAUAGGCUGAUACUGUGCUAACAGCUUGCAGAUCAUUUUCUUGGAGGGAAGUCAACUGAGAGUGAUUGGUUGGACUGGAGUUUUCUGCACUAACUUGUAAAACAAAUAGGGCAGCGCCUAAGCAAUGAUCCUGAGUGAGUAACUUGUCCAUUUGUAAGGAAGAAAUGGAUUGAGGCUCUUGAGAAUGAGGACUGGAUAUGGAGAAAGUGGUAUUGCCCACUACAAACUGCAUAACCAUUUUUUCAAAAUCCCAUAACACCGGUCCUAAUGUCCUCAACCAUUGUACGCCGAAAACAAUGUCACAUCCACCCAAGGGAAGAGCAAAGAAAUCGAGCACAAUAUCAUAAUUUUGUAUUCUAAUAGAAACUUUAGCUAAACAACCUGUACUAGUGAGGGAUCCCCUAUCUGCAAUCUUAACAGUAAAUGGGUGUGUAGUAUCCAAAUGGCCUUUCAACUGUUUAACUAGUGCAAUAUCAAUGAAAUUAUGCGAGCUCCCUGAAUCUACCAAGAAAAUAGCAGGACAAUUGAAUACUAACCCUUGUAUUUUCAUAGUUCUGAUGGACUUUGGAGCAGGCAUCCCAUAAACUGCACAGGCAGUAACCUCAGGCUCGUCAUGAAUCUUUGAAUGGUGCUCCACAAGGUCUCCAUCAUCAUACAUAUCCAAGAGUAGCACUUGCCAUUUUGGACCCACACAAACAUGCUCCCGAGAAAAUUUUUCAUCAUAAUUGAAACACAAUUUGUUCUUCCUUCGAAACUCAAUUUCCGCUGCUGUUAAACGCCUAAAUUGCUCAGAUCUUGAAGAAUGCUCAGGCUUUGGUGUGUUAGUGAUAUCAUAUAAUGGCGUAGGCUUGAACUAGAGUGCAGAUGAAUAAGUUCUUGGAAAAGAUCGGACCUUCAACUCUGCCAAUUUAGCAUCAACCUGUUGAGAGUAAGCAAUGGCUUCAUGAACAUCGAAUGGUUUCAGAAUCUUGACAUCAUGGCGAAUUUCUGGCUUUAAUCCACCAAUAAAACAACUUUUCAAGAGACCAGGGGUCAUUUCGAUGGUCCGAUUUGCUAACCGCCGGAAUUCCAUGAUAUAAUCCCCGUAGCAGCCUAAAUUGGCGAAGCUUCACCAAGUUUUCAGUGCAAUCCAGGAGAUCAGAUGAACCAAAUUCCCUGUAGAAAAUCUUUGUAAAAUCUUCCCAUUUAGGAUAAUUCCUGACACAGUUAACCCAUUGAAACCAUUGAAGCGUUUCACCUUCCAUAUGGAAGGAAGCCAUACGAACUUUCUUGUCGGCCGGAAUAUCAAAGUAAUCGAAGUAAUGCUCCGCCUUAUAAAUCCACCCCAGAGGAUCAUCCCCUUCCUGGAAGCGAGGAAAAUCAAGUUUAACCAAAGGAGAUCUUGGUUGAAACCUUAAAUCCUGACGGUUGAGAUGUUGGGUUCUUGAAUCAUCAUGCAAGUUGGGGUCAAAUUGAGUUGCCUCUGAUGAAUCGCCCAGACCCAAUACCCCUUUCUCCAAAAAUUCGCAAUGAAGUUUCUUGAUUCGGGCAUCCGAUGAACCUUGACACUCUUCCAUGGCGUCAAAUCUUUGCAGUAGUGUCACGAGAGUGCUGUUGAUCGCAACAAGCUGAUUCUGCGAUUCCAUAGCUUUCUUCGUCGACGUACGAGUCAUACGGCAGCAGAGAAGGGAUGGAGGAAAGCUCUGAUACCAACGAUAAACCCUCAAUCAACCUUAACUCAAGAAGCCAUGAGAGAACUUGAAGAGAGAGAAAAAGAGAGAAAAGGAAUUCAGUAUUAUUCAUAAUCGUUUUCUAUUUUCUUACAAACCUCACUAUAUAGUUUCUGUUCUCUAACUAUUCUUAUCCAAUUACAACUAUACCAAUAACCUCCUAACAACCUUAUUAUACUAAUACCACUCAAUUACUCAAUUGAUGCCGAUCACAACCCCACUUAGCUACUAGUAAAUCUCAUCAGAAUCGUAACAUUAACUCAAUCAACCUCAAUCAUCUUCUUGUAGGAUAUUUCAAGAAUAUAUAUAUAUAUAUAUAUAUAUAUAUAUAUAUAUAUAAUAUGUAUAUGUAUAUGCGUGCGUUGUGUAUUUGCAUAGAAUAGAGUUGGGUUCUUGCCCAACAAUCACAUCUCUUCAAUUUGAAUACUGCAUCUUUUGAUUGUUGCCAAAAAUGACACGACCUCAUGGUCAACAAGUGUAAUCCUUCUCCUAGCAAAUAUGACCUUUAGGUAAUUGGUGCUCUCCAUCAGGUAUAAUCGUUAAAAUGCCUUUUGGAUAAUGCUUUGUAUAUGUUCAAACAUACAUGACUUCUUGAACCAAUAUGAAUUCAAAAGUUAUGUACUUUCGAUUAACUUGAACAUGUGCAAUUCUCUCUAUAUAUUGAUAACGUUGGAAGAAGAAAAGAUUUAGAAAUUUGUUGUCUACACAAUUUCUUUACUCUCUUUUCUCUCUCCAUCACAUUCAUUCAAUUUCUUUCUAGUUAUUUCUAAGGGAAUACAAUUUGGUUUUGUUAAUCGAAUAUUUCAUACUUUGUUGUAUCUUGGAAGUGAUUUUCCAAGAACCUUUUAGCAAACUCAUUCGAGUAGGGGCAAAUAACACUUUAAGGAAACGAUUCAAGUCGUAUCUCAAAGUCAUCCUUCAGUUUAUUCUCUAUAUUUUUACAUUUAUUCUAACAAUCUUGUAGUGUUAUUUUUGUCAUGGAUAACAAGUCUGAUAACAUGGCUUUGAAGAUUAUCAAACAAGAUGUCUACAAGCUAGACAAAUUUGAUAGAUCAAAUUUCACCCAAUGGAAGGUGAUAGGAGCAUAUUUAUACGACUGAGUUAGCUUGUUCUCAUGCAUUUAUGUUGUUAUUUCUUAGUUAAUUAUGUAUUUUAAGCUAUUUUCGUGUGUUUGUAGGUCCAUAGGCCUUAUAAAGCAAUAAGAUGCAUUUUGGUGCAUUUUGGUGCAUUUUGGAGCAGUUUUAGGCUUGGAAUGAAUAGCACAUGCAUGGAGUAAGGUAGAUGGACGAAAUUGAAGACUAAAGAGGCUAGGAAUGUGUUAAAGAGAAAGAAGAAUUAAUGUAAAAAGGAUAAAGAGCUCAGCCACAAAGGGGUGUCACUCCACCAUUCACCUUUCCAUCAUUGUUGUGCACCACCAUUGCACUCCAUUUGGAUUCCUAUGACGUGCAUCAUCAUCCAUGUUCCCUCCAUUGACUCAUUUGUUGCAUCAUUCCACUUCCUUUCCUUUAUCUACCAUGUGCACAAUAUCUUUUCACCUCAUUGCACUCAUUGAUUCACCAUUUACUCACCUUUCCACCCAUGCCAUGCAUAAUCACCCUUGUCCCAUCCAUUAUUUCAGAUUUCAUGCAUCAUUACAUUGAAUCAUUGCACUCAAUUGCUACACCAUUUCUUGUUCCCUCCAUCAUUUCAGAUUUCAUGCAUCAUUACAUUGCAUCAUUUCACUCAAUUGCUACACCACUUCAUGUUCCCCUUCAUUGCCAUGCACUUCCUCUAUAAAAGGAAGUGUGUGUAACAUAAAUUUAGUUCAUACUUGGUUAGAUCAUUCACUCCCAUUUCAUCACAACCUUUAUCCAAACACAUCCAUUCAUCUUCAGAUCCAUUCCUUCAUACAAACAAACCUUCAAACACUCACCAACACCUUGUGCCGUAGCAAAGGAAGGGAAGGAAAGUGCUUAGAUGUGCUUGCUGUCCAACUUGGAUCGUUGGAGCGUUUAGGUGUUUUCUUUCUUUUGUUUCUAAUGUUUAAAUUCAUUUCCUUUCGUUUUGUUGUAAAUAUGAGUGGCAAAAUCCCUCUGGGCUAGGGGUGAUUUCAAAGCCAUGAUUAUGUGUGCAAUAUAAUUUGAUAAAUUCCAGUUAUGAACUCUUGAAUCGUGAAUGCAAUUGGCUUAACUAUUUGAUUGAUAACUUAUUUGUAUUUGUUAAUUAAUGGUCGACACUUAAUUAGCAUGCAUAAAUCCAUUGCUAGAAUAUAAGGAAGUUUCACAUAAUCGUUACAAACUUAUAUUCACAUGUAGUGAAGGUCGCUUAUAAACGAUCGCGUUAAGUUCAAUUCCUAGCAUAAGCGACAUGAUGUCAUAGUUGCAAGUGCUUUGUCAAUGCUUAUGGUUUUCAUUAAACGUAAUGAUCUUUGAUUGUCUCUAUUAUGAUGUCAUAUGGGAAACUUUUGAAGAAUGUUUUGGGUUGUAGAAUGAUGUCAUCAAAUCCAAUAAAACAAGGAAAAUCUGAGAGUUAACUAGUGAUGUCACGGUUAAUUUGGAGCAUUAUCGUUCAUAAUUUAAUGAAGUAGUAACUGGAAAUCAAGUUAUUUGCAUACAUGUCAUGUGUGGAGAAAAAGCCUCUAGCUAUCCCAUCCAUCAUCUUAUUUCUCAAAUUUGUUUUACAAUCUGUCUAGUUUUUUAUACUUGUUUGUUUGUUUCAACUUCGUCCAAAACUCAAUCCUCCUUUACUUUAGUGUGUCUAAUUAGUUAGAAUCUGUUUUAAUUUGUGUUUUUAAAUGUUUUGAUUCAAGUAAAAGUCAAUUUUCGUCCAAAGUCAUUCCUAGUGUCUAGUUUAAGUUUAUUUAGUUGUUUUAAGCUGUUUUGAGUAUUUUAAGUUUGCUUUGAAUCUUGUGAGUCUUGUUAAGUAUUUUUAAGUUUAGUUUUAUGUUUUUGAGUCAGUUUAGAGGUUAUUAGCAAGCCCUCCUAAUCCCCGAUCCAGAACGAUCCCUACUUAUACUUAUAUUACAGUUGUCAAAAGAGGGUUAAAUUUGUGUGUUAAGUUAAUUUUCGCAUCAGAAGGACAAGAUGUGUUUCAUGCUUACUGUUCUAAAUGUCAUAUAUGUGUUCAACUCGAAAUUAGAGCCUAUUCGUGAACCAAGUGACAAAGACACGGAAAAAUAGUUGUCGAUUGAAAGAAGCGUGAAGAAGAUGAAUUGGUAUGUAGAAGACACAUCUUGGGCACAUUAUCUGAUCGCUUAUAUGACAAGUACGCACACAUUCAAUCUCCAAAGGAAAUUUGGGAAGAACUUGAACACAAGUACACAACGGAGAAAAGAGGUACGAAUAAAUUUUUAAUGUUCAAAUAUUAUGAGUUCACUAUAUUUGAUAACAAACUCAUCCUACCAAGUUCAUGAAUUAUUGGUCUCGGUCUCAAAACUUUGUGAACUUAAAAUAGUUAUUCCGGAUUCUAUGAUAAUUGGGGCUGUUAUGGAAAAAUUACCCCUAACAUGGAAUAACUAUAGAAAGAAACUUCUACACAUGGUGGAAGAUAUUAGUUUGGAGGAUUUGCAAAAAGGUAUUCAAAUUCAAGAGGAAACUCGAAAUCGUGAUAGGAAUUUUGCAAAACAGGAUUCCUCUAGAAUUCACAUUUUUGGAGGAAACAAAUACAAAAACAACUUCAAAGUCAAAAUUGACAAAGGGAAGUUUAAGAAGACCAAAAAGAAUGCAAAUGGGGUCUACUACCAUUGUGGAAAGAAAGGUCAUUACAUUCGUGAUUGUAGACACAGAAAAGUGAGUGAGGAAUAUGCCAAUAAGACCAAUAACGCAAAUAUGGUGGAAAAUUCUGAAAUUGAUAACAUUGUUGCCAUGGUAUCAAUGAUGCAUAUUGCCAUGAUUACAGAACUAAAUAUGGCAACGGUAAUAAAAUCAUCUGAUUGGUGGCUCGAUUCAGGGGCUACUAUACAUGUGUGUAAUGACGAGUCACAAUUCAAAACAUGUGAAGCAUCAACGGACAAUCAAGAGGUUUUAAUGGGGAAUCAUAAUUCUACCAAAGUUCUAGGAAAAGGAACCAUUGAACUUCAAUUUACUUAUGGGAAGAAAUUGACAUUGCUUAAUGUACUACAUGUUCCAGAAAUUAGAAAGAAUCUUAUGUCUGCAAAUUUAUUGUGUAAGAAUGGUAUAAAGACUGUUCUAGAGUCCGACAAGUUAAUAAUGUCGAAAAUUGGGGUGUUUGUUGGGAAGGGGUAUUCUUGUGAUGGAAUGUUCAAACUAAGUAUUAAUAAUAAAGUGAAUUCUUUUGCUUAUAUUGUUGAAUCUUCCUCUCAUUCAUGGCAUUUACGUUUAGCGCAUGUAAAUUUUAGAUCUUUAAAAUACAUGCGCACAUUUAGUUUAAUUGUUUGCAAUGAUGAUUACAAUGAUAAAUGUGAAACAUGUAUUCGAGCGAAAAUGACUAAGAAACUUUUUUCCAACUACCGAAAGAAAUACAAAUUUAUUAGACUUAAUACAUUCUGACAUAUGUGAAUUUAAUGGUGUUUUAACAAGAGGUAAAAGGUAUUUUAUCACAUUUGUAGAUGAUUGUUCUAAGUUCACUUAUGUUUAUUUAUUGUCUAAUAAAGAUGAAGCUUUUGAGUGUUUUAAGCGCUGUAAGGCUGAAGUUGAAAACCAAAAGGGAAGGAAAAUUAAAUGCCUUCGCAGUGAUAGAGGUGGUGAAUAUUUUUCACAUGAAUUUGAUAUCUUGUGAAGAGCAUGGUGUUGUACAUCAAAGAACUACACCCUAUACACUACAACAAAAUGGUUUGGCAGAAAGAAAAAAUAGGAAACUCACUAAAAUGAUUAAUUCUAUGAUAAUUAAUGCUAAUACUCCUAAACAUUUACAGGGAGAAGCAUUGUUUACUGCAUGUCAUAUAUACAACAGAAUUACAUUUACGAAGACACAUGUGCCACCAUAUGAAAUUUGGAAAGGAAGAAAACCAAAUUUGUCAUAUUUGAGAGUAUAAGGUUGUGUAGCCUUUUACAAGGCACUGGACCCUACGAGAUCCAAGUUGAGUCCAAGAGGAAUUAAAAGCAUACUUGUAGGAUAUGCAGAAAAUUCAAAGGCAUGUAGGUUGCUUAAUUUAGACUCAAAUACAAUAGUUAAGUCUAGAGAUGUCAAAUUUAUAGAAAAUAAAUUUUAUAAUGACUUCUCAAUGUUUGGAAAAGAGAAUGAUCAAACACCUUUCUCUAAUCCGGCUACUAGUCAUUCUUAAGGUAAGAAAAGAAAACAGUUUGAAACUG